This 331-nucleotide unclassified non-coding RNA is filed under the name soil metagenome. RNAcentral's name for it is "partial contains 5.8S ribosomal RNA, internal transcribed spacer 2, and large subunit ribosomal RNA". The stretch from base 1 to 120 matches the Rfam family "5.8S ribosomal RNA", at positions 35 to 154 of the family's 154-position model. The record is from RNAcentral.
GAUGAAGAACGCAGCGAAAUGCGAUAAGUAAUGUGAAUUGCAGAAUUCAGUGAAUCAUCGAAUCUUUGAACGCACAUUGCGCCCCCUGGUAUUCCGGGGGGCAUGCCUGUUCGAGCGUCAUUUCACCACUCAAGCCUCGCUUGGUAUUGGGCAACGCGGUCCGCCGCGUGCCUCAAAUCGUCCGGCUGGGUCUUCUGUCCCCUAAGCGUUGUGGAAACUAUUCGCUAAAGGGUGUUCGGGAGGCUACGCCGUAAAACAGCCCCAUUUCUAAGGUUGACCUCGGAUCAGGUAGGGAUACCCGCUGAACUUAAGCAUAUCAAUAAGCGGAGGA